Molecule: long non-coding RNA, 1393 nt
Organism: Bos taurus (domestic cattle)
Lineage: Eukaryota; Metazoa; Chordata; Mammalia; Artiodactyla; Bovidae
Source: Ensembl
GAGACACGCGCCCGGGACUGCGCAUGCGCAGGCGCGCGGCGGCGCUUCCUGGGAACUCGGGCUCGGCGGAACCCGGGCAGCGGUGACUCAGCGCCUGAGGCGAGGAGGGCAGCGGGGUUCCCUCCCCGCGAAGCCGAAGAGCUUCACUUCUCGGCCCUCGCCGCCCCCAAAGUUGAGGCCGCCCCGGGGCCGGGCUACGGUGCAAGCUCGCCGCCUCAGCCGGCUCCGUGCGCUGCCCGAUCGUUGGAAGCCCUGAGGAGCUCGGAAGUUUUUCAUUUGGGGCGGGGAAAGGUCUUGAACUUGCUCAGAGUUGUGGGGUGAAGCCACAGCUUUCUGGAGGCAUUUGGGGAACGUGAAGAACGUCAGAGACAAAUUGGUGCUGGCAGCUACUGUGUUGUGGUUUUUCACCUGCGGUCAGUCCUCAGAUGUAGAAGCUAAGGCCUUGGAAAGGAGAGCCUGGCUCAGGGUCACAGAGCCAGCGAGGAGGAGACAUAAGACUCAAAUCGAGGUCUCUUGAUCCCCAGGCCUGUUCCUAUGUUCUGCACCUUGGAUUUCAGGGGUCCCUGAAAACAGAUGGCACAUAUCAGCUGGAUAAGGAAACUGACUAGUGAAUCAGCAAGAGGAAUGGAGGUGUGGACAACUGAGCUGACGUUUGCCUCUCUGGGAUCUUGUGUAUGAUAGUUCCUCUGUGGAUGUUUGUGGGGUGAAAGAAUGAAAGAGGAGCAUAUAAGAAGCCGGAUUCUUUGGAGAAUUGCCCUGGAGAUCCAUAACUGUGCCUCAUUUCUGCAGUACAGGGGGAUGCCUGUCAGUGUCUCCCCUGCCGCUUGGUGAUAAGCCAGAUUAUUCAGGUUAAAAGAGGUUAUGGCCCUAGGAAUAGAUCAGAUCUGGACGUAGGACAAGGUGACAUCACCGUGGAUCUCCACCAAGUCCACCCUCUGGAAGGCUGAGAGGCUAUGGGAGAAGUCGAAGAGGUGCUGGCCAUUGGCAUACACCUUGAAGCGAUCUGCACCACAACGAACGGACAGAUCAAAGAAUUGUCCAGGACCGAAUGGGUUGUAGGGGACCUUCCUCUCCUCAGAUCCCCAAGAGCCAUUCAGAAAGCUGUUCCGAACCACAGCGCCCUCGGUCAUGCGGGGGUUAAUGUGCAGAGCCACGUCCCCAGAGGAUCCCACCUUGAAGUUGAUGACAAAGCUCUUGGCUGUGCGGGGUGGGUGACCAUCUGCAGCGGGAUCCGGUGCUUAAACUCAUGGAAGGGAGUCCCAUUCACCACCACCUUGAAGUGCUCCAUCAUGACCAUGAACACCAGCUCGAAGGCCGCACCCUUGCGGAAGGGCAUGCUCAUUUUCCUCUCCUCGUUGCCCCACGAGCCAUUCUGCUUCGAGUUCAAGACCAC